GGCCUCCUGGUGCUUACCAUAGGCUGUGUUCUUAUAUGACUGCAUAGAUAAAGAGGAAGGAAAGUAAACCUACCCUAAUUGCAUUUCAACCCAGACUCUGUGCCUGGUCUGUAUCGUGAGUAGGAAGAUAUGG
Molecule: small nucleolar RNA, 133 nt
Filed under: Castor canadensis (American beaver)
Lineage: Eukaryota; Metazoa; Chordata; Mammalia; Rodentia; Castoridae
Description: Small nucleolar RNA SNORA51 (ENSCCNG00000009681.1)
Rfam family: Small nucleolar RNA SNORA51
About the family: ACA51 is a member of the H/ACA class of snoRNA that guide the sites of modification of uridines to pseudouridines.
Source: Rfam by way of RNAcentral